CAGGGUUUGCUCAAAAAACACGUCCAUUUGGUGCUCAUGUAAUGGUUAAACUUUCAAGGGAAUAUAUAGAAGUGGCUUAUUGGUAUAUCUUAGAUAAUUGAGAAGAAAUAGAAGACUUCAGAAAGUAUGUGAUAGUAAUAGUUGAACAUUUAUUUAAAUAAUUAUAAUUCCACAACUUUCACUUACAUUUUAUUUAUUUAUGCAGUGAGCAUAUCAAGAUUUUGGAAAGAGAUAGUCAUGCUAAUGUACAACAAAGGCAUAGAUAGUUGUUUCCAGAAUGGUUUAGGCAGCGGGUCAUGUCAUUGUUUUAUCAAGAGCCUAGAUUGGUUAGUGAAGAGAUUUUUUCAUUAGCCCAAGGUCCAGAUCAACAUAUUGUCCAAUACACAGGUUGUAUUGUGAACGGCAUUCGAUAUUUGGUCAGACAUGUUGAUCAAAACCAUACAACACAGAAAAGUGGGGUUAUGAUGCCGGGGUCGCAUAAUGGUGAAACAUGUAACUUUUAUGGCAUCUUAGUUAAUGUCAUUAAAGUACAAUUUACUAGAGGUUUUAAGGUGAUUCUUUUCAAAUGUCAUUGGUACAAUACAGAUACAAGAGGUAAAAAAAGUUAUACGGGAUUAUCAUCUUACAUCAUUAAAUGUAAAUAAUCAUUGGUACGAUGGUGAUCCGUAUGUGUUAGCUAAACAAGCACAUCAAGUAUUUUAUAUUGAUGACUUAAAAUUGGGUCAUCCAUGGAAAGUUGUGCAAAAGAUACAACAUAGACACAUUUGGGAUGUUCCUGAGAAAGAUGAUGAGGAGGAGGAGUUAGACAAUGCCACUGAUGAAGACGAUGAUGAGUAUGUAGAUGAAACUGAAAAUUCUACAAGGGGGCUCCAUAAUGAUGAUGAAGUUGAUAUAUCAUUAUGUAGAGAUGAUGUUGAUCCUGAAUCUUUUGAUAUUAGCAACGAGGAGGGUCGAAGAAUGCUAGGGCUACAGAGGGGUGAGGAGGAGGAGGAAGAAAAUGACGAGGAUGAGGAGGAGGAAGAGGAUGAUGAGGAAGAGAAUGUUGGAUCCAAUGAUACUAAUGAUGAUUACAAUUGAUGACUAUGGUGAGAUCUAUGCAUUAUAAAUUAAUGUUUAUUGUCCUACAAUAGUAAAUAUAUUUGCCUAUCAUUUUACAAAUAGUCACUAUGCUUAUAAUGGUUUGUGUUUGUAUAUAUUAAUAUUUUGGUUAUGCUAUUUACUUUUAUGUUUCAUAUUUAGAUGCAAUUUUUACACAACGAGGAAAGAGGGUGAAGCGGGUGAGGGAUCCCUUACCUCAUCCUCCAAAUGAUGCAUUUGCACUGCAACCACCACCUCCUCUGCCACCACCACCUCCACCACCACCACCACCUCCGCGAGGAAAGAGGGUGAAGCGAUGAUGGAUCCCUUACAUCCUCCUCCAAAUGAUGCACUUGCACCUAAUCCACCACCUCCUCCACCAACACCUCUUUCAUCACCACCUGCACCUUCGCCAACAAACACUAACUCAGGUAAGAAAGGUAGUUACAAUUUUUACUUUUUCCUUAUUAACGUAGUUUUAAACAACACAUUACAUUGAUUAGAGAUACGUAUAUUUUUCUAGAGACAGAUUUUGAUUUUUUUGCAAAAAAAUGACUCGUGGAAAAUCAUGUGGGAAAGGCGUCCAUGAUAUUUCGAAGGCCAAU
RNAcentral lists this long non-coding RNA (1682 nucleotides) under Malus domestica (apple). Its description in RNAcentral is "long non-coding RNA (MDOM_LNC016531)". The record is from RNAcentral. Lineage: Eukaryota; Viridiplantae; Streptophyta; Magnoliopsida; Rosales; Rosaceae.